CACGUAGGGUGCGAGCGUUGUCCGGAAUUAUUGGGCGUAAAGAGCUCGUAGGCGGUGUGUCGCGUCGGCCGUGAAAACUUGCAGCUUAACUGUGGGCGUGCGGUCGAUACGGGCAUCACUGGAGUUCGGCAGGGGAGACUGGAAUUCCUGGUGUAGGGGUGAAAUGCGCAGAUAUCAGGGGGAACACCGGUGGCGAAGGCGGGUCUCUGGGCCGAUACUGACGCUGAGGAGCGAAAGCGUGGGGAGCGAACAGG
Molecule: ribosomal RNA, 254 nt
Filed under: uncultured bacterium
Lineage: Bacteria
Description: partial 16S ribosomal RNA
Rfam family: Bacterial small subunit ribosomal RNA
Source: RNAcentral